Molecule: long non-coding RNA, 886 nt
Organism: Oncorhynchus masou masou (cherry salmon)
Lineage: Eukaryota; Metazoa; Chordata; Actinopteri; Salmoniformes; Salmonidae
Exons: 2
Source: RefSeq, a predicted model, not a curated record
CAGAGAUGGCUGGAAACGUAGGGGGGUUGAGGAUGACGAGAUGGAGUAUAGUGGUGGAGUCGUGAGAGUAAAGGUUAAAGAAGAGGACGCCUGAGGAGCCGUUGCAGUUCUUGUCGGGUAGAGUAGGGAUGAGGGAUGUUCGGUUCGCAGUGUUGUACUGAGAUAAGUGGAGUUCAUGGUGUUGGCGAAAUGUAAGGACGAGGAUGGGGUCACAUCGGUGAGUCCGAUCACGAUGAUUAGCGAUUUGGAGAGAAAAGUAGGAGAGAUUGAGUCUGCUAAAGUUCUUUGUGAUGGAAGUUUGGUGGUGGAUCGUAUCAAUACUAAACAGUAUGAGAAGGAGCUCAAACUCAAGCAGGUGAAAAUCAUCACUCCCCAAUCAGUCAACAAUCAAUCAUCAAUCAGAAGACACACCUCCUAUUUCCUAACCUAUCACAGUUCCUUCUCCAUGGUUUAAAAACCCCAUCAUUUGUUUGUUCUAGAGCUGAAUCUCUCUGUAAAUGCCAUGUCUGUAGGUCUCUGUGUUUCACUCUCGCUUUGUGUCUUAACCUCUCUUUUGUUUAAGCACCUCAUAGCACUUUGUCAUCACCUGUGAGUAUUGUUUUUGGUUAUGGUGUCUGUUUGUUGCUGGUGGGAAAAGGGGGAAACCAAGACAAGUCGCCCAUGGGCAUACACUACCCGUAGGUGAACUUUGUUAAAUACACUAGUUAGAACUGGGCGGACCACCCACUGUAUUUUUGGUUAGUUAGUUAGCUGUUGUUAAAGUAGGCUAGUCAAGCUUAGGGGUGUUUUUGAAUACUUAUUGUUUCUUUCCUUGGGUCCAGCUCAGCCCCUUUUCCUGCUCCCCCCAUUACCGUGUGUUUAUAAAUAAACCUAGAGUUUGACGGUA